This 484-nucleotide ribosomal RNA is filed under the name uncultured bacterium. Its description in RNAcentral is "partial 16S ribosomal RNA". It matches the Rfam family "Bacterial small subunit ribosomal RNA", at positions 30 to 507 of the family's 1533-position model. The record is from RNAcentral.
AUUGAACGCUGGCGGCAGGCCUAACACAUGCAAGUCGAGCGGAUGAAGGGAGCUUGCUCCUGGAUUCAGCGGCGGACGGGUGAGUAAUGCCUAGGAAUCUGCCUGGCAGUGGGGGAUAACGUCCGGAAACGGGCGCUAAUACCGCAUACGUCCUGAGGGAGAAAGUGGGGGAUCUUCGGACCUCACGCUAUCAGAUGAGCCUAGGUCGGAUUAGCUAGUUGGUGGGGUAAAGGCCUACCAAGGCGACGAUCCGUAACUGGUCUGAGAGGAUGAUCAGUCACACUGGAACUGAGACACGGUCCAGACUCCUACGGGAGGCAGCAGUGGGGAAUAUUGGACAAUGGGCGAAAGCCUGAUCCAGCCAUGCCGCGUGUGUGAAGAAGGUCUUCGGAUUGUAAAGCACUUUAAGUUGGGAGGAAAGGCAGUAAGUUAAUACCUUGCUGUUUUGACGUUACCAACAGAAUAAGCACCGGCUAACUUCGUG